AAGACUCGAAAACCAUCGCGAAACAUACCUCGUCAGUCGUUGCUUCGGCGGGCGGCCCCAGGCGGGGCCGUAGCCCGAGCAGGGCGCCCGCCGGAGGAACGUCAAGAAACACUCUUUUUUUUUUUUGCGUCUCUUCUGAGUUUAAUUGACUAAGUUAACAAUUGAGUCAAAACUUUCAACAACGGAUCUCUUGGUUCUGGCAUCGAUGAAGAACGCAGCGAAAUGCGAUAAGUAAUGUGAAUUGCAGAAUUCAGUGAAUCAUCGAAUCUUUGAACGCACAUUGCGCCCGCCAGUAUUCUGGCGGGCAUGCCUGUUCGAGCGUCAUUUCAACCCCUCAAGCCCUGCUUGGUGUUGGGGCCCCUACGUGCGCCGUAGGCCCCGAAUUUUAGUGGCGGGCUCGCCGCGAAACCGAGCGUAGUAGUAUUACCCUCGCUCAGGACGUCGCGGUGGGCGCCGGCCGUGAAAGARAACGUGUUUACAACACAGUACAGGUUGACC
This 498-nucleotide unclassified non-coding RNA is filed under the name leaf metagenome. RNAcentral's name for it is "partial contains internal transcribed spacer 1, 5.8S ribosomal RNA, and internal transcribed spacer 2". The record is from RNAcentral.